CAUCAUGGACUUUUCUUUGCCACAGUACCAGUUAGGAGCUAUGGAUUCUGUGCUUACAACAAUUGCAUUUGCGUUUUUGUAUGACUUGAACAAGUUUUGUACAACAUCAAUAGCAAUGAGACUUGCACUGCAUCCCAUUCCUGAGAGGUUGAAGGUCUUGAUGUCCUCCCUCAUCUUGUAACGAUUUAUUAUACGAGAUGUUAGAGAGGGUGCAGGGGAGAACAUUGACACAUUGACAACCAGAAUGUCGAUUUGUGAUGGAGAAAUUGAAGUAGGCCUGGCAAAAAGCUUGUCAAGUGUGUCAAAUAUGAUACCAUCCAUCUCACAAAGCUCAUCUGCCCGGGUUGGAUUUCGGCCUUCAAUGAUGUUUCGUGGGCAAGAUGUUUCUUCACCAAUGCCAGAACUGACAAUAGUUUUCAAGAGAAACCUGAGUUCUUCCAAUCCCAAAUUCUUGUUCUGCAUGACGAUUUUUGCGCUGGAAUCACAGUUGAGCUUCAUGUCCUCUUUGGCCUUGUAGCACUCAUAAGCCAGCAUAUAGCAGCUCUGGUCUCUCCUUUGGAGAAGUAACUUGCAGAGGCAGAAGAAACCAAAGAAAAGAGUGAGAAGAGACAUUGUCAUGAAGAUCUCCAUGGCCCUACAGCUCUCUUUGUUUGUGGGUGUGAGAGAUGGAGAGAGAUAGAAUUGUGAAGUGUUAUAUGUGAGUUGCAUGCAAAACUUCAACAACUAUCUUAGUACUUAUCCUACACUGCACCCAUCUCUUUCUUAUAAAUCGAUGGUGAUGAACUAAUGUUGCUUGUGAUCACUAAUGGAAAGACCUCUACUUUUUACCUACAAGUUAGCAGGUAUUUAUUAAGAUUAAUUUUAUGGUUAGGCGGUAGGCACAACCAUGCAAUAAAACGACAAGCCAUGACUGAACGAACAGCCUAAAUGGUCAGAGUUUCAGUCAAGUUAUUGAGAGGGAGUUAUGCUUCAUAUCUACACUAGCCAAGUUGCCAUCUCUCCUCUUACAAAAACUUCAACGCUAAAAUUAAUAUCAAACAGUUCUAAAUUCUCUCUCUCUCUCUCUCUCUCUCUCUCUCUCCAUAUAUAUAUAUACAGAGAGCUUCCAUUGAGGGAUCCCUCAAAUAAGCUUAUUUGAGGGACACCCCUUGUAGGCCCCACUUCGGAUUGUAUUUCAUUAAUCCAAACCGUCUAUUUUGUAGAUACUCAUUCAAAGAUCAUCCCUACAAAAAAUCACUUGAAUCCGAUAUCAUUUGACCACUCAAUUAAGUUAUUGAAAUUUUAGCAUUUUCUUGAAGUACCGUGUUCAUUGAUUUUGUAAGACACAAUUGGAUGUCGAAACGGUUUCCGAUUUGUCUAAUUUUUUGUUAGGAUGAUCUAUGAAUGAAGACCUAAAAAAUAGAUGGUUUGGAUCAUUGGGAAAAAAAUUGUAGAGUACCCUAAAGGGCGUCCCUCAAAUAAUUUUAUUUAAGGGAUCCCUCAAUAGAAGGGGACUGUAUAUAUAUAUAUAUAUAUAUAAUCUUUUAAAUUUCUGUAAAAACAAGAAGACUUUUGAAUAUUUUUUGUUGCUGAAAUGUUUGGUUUUGGGGUUAUGUGGGAUUUCAUUAUUGCCCUGCUCAAGAAAAUGUAACUUUCCAAGGUGUGAAUUAUCUUUUAUCAUCUCAUUAUUUCUUCCAAGAGACAUGAAUUUGAAGUUGAAGUUACAGCACGAAACUAGCAAGUGGGCUGUGUAUGUACAUUAAGUCUUUGUCUGCCUGUUUACUUUUCGGUUUGUGUGUGCUUUAUCUUUGUGUAGUUUGUGUGUUAUAAUUGCGAAGUUUAUCAACAACAAGGUCUUGGAGUGUUUUCGCACAACAGAAAUAACUCUCCAAUAGAAGACAGUUGCAAUGAAGUCUCUCAUAUUUAUAAUAGCACAUUCAGUUGGAUUUCUUGGGAGUGGGUGCACAUUUUCAAGUGCAUUCAUUCCCAUAGAAAACGCUAUAUUUCUCUAGAUGGCAAAAUGAAAUAAGUCUAUAUAUGCCUUCUAGUUGCAUCAUGUUUGCAUUUACAGGUUCUAAUUCUAGGUUGCAGAACUCCAGAAUAUAUUUGAAAACUCAUGAGUUCCACUCUAAGAUAUAAAAUCAAUAGGCUAUGAUCAAAAUGGCAGACUGGUCUUCCACUAGACUAAUGCACCACACUGGUUAUUCAGAAACCAAACUGCGCUCAAGGCACUUGCAUUGCUUAUUUCAACCCAGAAUACAAAUUUAAACAAAUUCAUGUGUAACUAGGUUUCAAAUAAAUUGAAUUGCUUUAUUAUUUGAAUGUUGGACUGUUGUCCCACUGGAUAUUGGAACAGCCAUUCUAUUACAACAUAACUACAGAUAAAUCAGAUGAGACGAAAAAAGUACUUGGAAAAUCGGCUGCAAGUGCGGGUCUUCAACUUCCUGAGGUUUAUCAGCCUUGAAAUUUAGUUGGGUAUAAUUUGCUACAUUCUAUUAUGGCAUAGAAAAUAUGCCUCCAGCGAACCAUGUAGCCUGUGGAAUUUUUUAGUUAUAUUCGUAAAUAACUAAGUGCUAUAUGCUUGUUACCAACAAUGGGAUCGAAAUUUGUUUGACUUGCUGCUAUCUAUUUUAACAAAAAUAAGUUUUGCUACAUCAGCUGAAUUUGAUCAUUUGUAAGGGUAUUGACUUGUAUACCAGUGGUCUCACAUAUACUUUAGUAGUGUGUGAUCACAAAACCCCCUUCCCUUAAUAUCACUUGUAUUAAAAAAUAUAUAUAUAUAUUACGACAAAAACAAAUCAUAAUAAUCAAAUUAUUUUAUUGCCCAUUUAAAUGUCAGAUAAUAAAUAAUAAAUGAAAAGGCAGGUUUUAAUACGCCCCAUUAUUUUUUUUUAAAACGCAUGUCUAGAAAAUGGACUUUCAAAAACAAAAAAAUUGUAAGUCGAGUGGAAAAAAGGCCUCUCAUAGCACAUGCUUCUUUUCUUUUCUUUUUUUAAUUUAUAAAUAUAAGCGAACUACAAGGGGUGGGGUUCUCACACACACACUAUCAAGGUGCUAUGUGAAUUCGAACUUAAGACCAUUAGUCUGCAAAUUAAGACCUUUUUUUCAUUGGGUUAAAUUAUGUUAGUGCACAGGGGCUAAUUUAAAAUUAAUUAAGAAAAUUUAAUAUAAAGAGAAAACAAACUGCAGGAAACUUUGAGAUUCCUUAUUUUUUAGUGUACCACACAAGAUCACCAGUCCCCUUUUUUCCGUUGUUUUUAUGGGUUCGCAUGUUUUCUAAGUCCUUGUUUAAUCUUUGGGCGUGAUACUCCUCAGUAUAUAAUUCCCAUUCUAAUGAGAGAUUCCUAUUAUUUAAAGACUUAUGCAAUUAAUUUUAUUUCAUAAACAUCUUUUACGGUUUAUUACGAUUUUUUUCAACAAUUCAAAACUAUCUAUUUUUCAAAUCUUUAUUCAUAAAUCAUCCUUACAUAAAAUUAGACAAAUUGAAAAUCAUUUAGACAUCUAGUCAUAUCUAAUAAGAUUUCAAAUUUGUUCAAAGAGGUGUAAUUGAUGAUCAGAGUCUGAUAAUAAUUCCAAUUUCAAAGAAUAAUCAAUUCAUGAAGUCUAAUGUCUAUUUGAUUCUCCAAACAGUACCCAUUUUCGACACAGCAUAUAAUGAUGGAUCCAUAUGAGCGGGAUUUGUAUACAUUAUUGCCCUACUCAAAAAAAAUGUAACUUUCCAAGAUGUGAAUCUGAAGGUACAGCUAGAAAUUAGCAAGUGAAUAGUAAAUGCAAUUCCAACGAUGGGAAACAGAGCAUUGUAUUCACAUAAAAAACCAUUUGGGUACAAUAGUAAGCGACAAACACCAGAAAUAAGAAAAUCCAAAUAAUUCGAACUCAAAUUAUAGGGGCACCCACAGAGGUGCGCCCCUCCAAAAAUAGGCGUAUGCCAUUUAAAGCGACGCGCACACGGUAUUCUUUAGUAAAAGGCGAAAGAAUAGUUCGCUUUGUGCUCGACGCAUGGCUCCGUAAGUUUUCAAGCAAACAGCUACUUUAUUUUAUAACCCCGACUCUAGCUAGUUCGUACUCCUUCAGCCGAUGUGGGACAAAAGUGCCUACACCUCAACCCUUCUCAAAACGGCCAACUUAGAAAAACUUAGCUUAGCAUAUUCAGAGGAGAUUGCCCUUCUCUAUCACACUUAAUACAAAAGUGCCUAGUUCUAAAGCAAUUCCAACGACCCCAAACUCUGAUUUUGCUAGUUCCUUUGUCAAUUUCAUACCUCACAUGAAAUCAGCCUUUGACUGGUUUUGAACCCAAGUGGAAACUGGUGGACGAGAAUUGAGUAUGAGAUACUCAGUCUCUGUAUAAUUUCCAUGAUGUUCUAUAGAGAAAAAAAAAAAAAAAAAGUAAAUUCUGCAAUUGAUUUUACACAUUCUAUAAAAUUUUAUGCUUCCUGGUUGAGGCUUCAUUUCAAAAUGUGAAUUUGACAACCACAGAUUGACAAAUAGAGCAGUGUGUUCAGUUUAAUGCUUAAAAAGUAAAUUAUUUUCCAGGGAUAUAUGUAUCUGGCUAAAGGUCUAAUUUGACCACUAUUGUCUAUGAAGUUGGCUCAACUGUUCUGCCUGCUAUUAUGCUAACUUUGGUGGUAAGGACAGCAUUGGCUAACUUUCGACCGAGCCAACAAAUGGGGAGAAGACUACAGGUAUAAUUUAUUGUGUAUCAGACAUGGCAGUCGUACAAUCAAAUAUUGGUGAAGAAAGUUCUUCAUCACCUCCCUCCUUAAAUUUCUUCUUUUGGUAAUGUAAUUUGUUUCCUAGAAAUAUCAGCCAAUUGUCAUUUCAAAAUAAAAGAGUUCGUUUGAGAGUGAUUUUGAACAGGCCAAAUAAUCACUUCUCUCAUUUUAUGGAGAAGCACAUUAGAGAUGCUUCUUCACAAAAUCACUUAAAAUUACUUAAAUUGAUUAUAUGAAAAAGCACAUAUGAGGUACUUCUUUUCAGAAUAAUUGAGCUAUCUAGAAUUACUCCCAAACAAGCCAUAUUGAAUGUGAACUUAACAAGCCACCCACGAAAAGAGACAUUUCAAAGAUGGUAAAUGUCAUUUAACCUCAGAAGUCACCUUUUACUAGGCAUUCUUUUGGCAUAUGUGAAAGGAUAAACUUCCAGCGCCGCCUAAUGCAUACUUUUCAGCCUUACUUUGUACAGUGUAGUAGUUCAUAUUUAUUUGGCAAGUUGAAAAACACCAAGAUCUAACUGUACGUACGAAUAUAUAUAUAUAUCAUUGGAUGCCGUCAUAAGAUUAAACAUGCAGGUCAGAGAACAGCUUUACCAUUUGAUUUCAAGAGUUGGUAAAUAUUUUCAGCAUAUGUCAGUAUAAUAAUGAGAUGAAUCUUCUGCUUUGUAUCUAUGUUGGAGAUCGAAAUAUAUAUAUAGUUGAUCAAACAAAACACUAGUCUUUAUUGAAGAAUAUAAGUCUCAUGUUAGGGAUAUGUUGAAUACACUUUCUUAAAUAAAAUAUAAGAUAUAAUGAAUGGUUUCAUUAUUAAUAUUAUCGAAGUUUUUUGUGAUAAAACAUCAUACAUAUCGAAUUUUAUAGGUGGUUAAGUUGGAGACAAUAUUGGUAUUGCUAGUAGAGGGCCGCUAGCCUAUCUCUCUAAAUUUAACAUGAUAUCAGAGCGAGUUGAAUGACUGGGCCUGAAAUAUUGGGUAUUUACCCUUACUCUUUAUCCAAUAUGUGGUGGUCACAUAUUGGACUUGAAUGUUUAUCAUUGUCCCUUAUCCAAUACGUGGUGAUCACGUGUUGGGUUUGAAUGUUUGACUCCGAUGUGGACUUGGCCCACUAUGUGAUGGUCCCACGUGAGGGGGCAUGUUGAAUGCACUUCACAAAUAAAAUACAAGAUAUAAUGAAUAAUUCAACUACUAAUAUAACCAAGGCCUUUUGUGAUAAAAUUUCACACCUAUUGAACUUUGUAAGUGAUUAAAAGUUAAAGACAAUAUGAUGUUACUAAUAGUGGACCGCUCUGUAAAAUUUAACACACUUUACUUGAGUAACUUCAAACAAUCAUAAACUUAAUUAAGGCUCCGUUUGGGGGUUGUGGUGUUUAAACUUGAGGCAAGUCUUAUCCCCACUUUACUCUUCUUCUUCUUCUUCGUUGAGAGCUGAAAUCCUCGGCUCACCAUCUUUGUCAUCUCUAGAUCUCACUCUUUGAUUAACGUUUUCGAUUCUUCCAAAAAAAAAAAAAGGAAAACAAUGAUGGCAGUGGUCUAACAAAAUUAUGGCUGCAUGCAUAAAUCUAACUGCCGUUUCAUAUGUUGCAAUGUUCAUCAAAUAAUUUGAUGAGAUAAAAAAAAUAUAUAAUCAAAUAAAUUCAUGAGAUAAAAUAUUAAUAAAAACAUAAGUAUAUGUAGUGAUAUUGAUUUUGUCUUUUUAGUAAAUAAAUAACACUUUUAACAUUAUGAGAGUUUAUCGACACUUUUAACACUCACAAUACUUUUAUAAAUAGAGUUUACCAAAUACUACCCACUUUUACAAAUAGAGUUUACCAAAAGCUUAACUGCUUUAUUCGACAACUAAUUAUUUUCGCAACACAAUAGUUUUUUUUUAAGCACAACAAUACCAAACUAGCCCUAAAUCCAUAGGCAAUACGGCAUACAACAUGGAUACUUAAACAAAACAGCUAAAGCUAAGCAAAUAUUUGGGAAAAAUCAAGCCUAAGAAAGCUUAGAUAUUCAUCAUUGAGCCAACCAUACUUCUCCAUGAAUGGAUUGACUAGGGUUUCAGGAGGGUAACUGUCUAUGCAAUCUUUCCAAACAUUAGCAUCCUCCAAGUCCUUGAGUACUUCCCACACAAUAUUGUUGCACUUAAAACCUGCUCCAAAUCCACUCAUCAGAAUUCUGUUGCCCUUCUUAAGCCUCUGCUUGGCCUCCAUGUAUCCCAAAGCAUACCAAAAGCCAGCUGCUGAUGUGUUACCAAACCUGUAAAGUGCCAUUCUAGAUGGCUCUACAUCAUAAUCACUUAGACCCAAGCUCUUACCAAUCCCAUCUAUGAUUGCUCUUCCACCAGGGUGAAUGCAAAAGUGCUCGAUCCCAGUCUUAAGAUUCAGUUUCACACCAUCUGCUUCUAGGUUUUGGCUCUUAUUACUUAAUUUAUGAAGCAGAGAUGCCAACAGAUACCUGAGAAUUUCUCUUAGUGGAAGCAUUUUAGGGACUAGAAUUUGGAGGUUCAUUGUAAAAGCCAGAGCAGCUGCUUUUGUGAGGUAUUUGGUAAGGCGAAAACCUUGAUAUCCACUCUCAUCUUCUGCCUGUAUGCAGCAAUCAUACGCUUCAUUACUUGAGCCAAUGUGGGUUCGUACCAGAUGCUUUAACUUCAACAUGGCUUGGUGCUUUAGGUCUCUGUUGUUUGUGAACAGCAUCGAACACCCUCCCGAGCGGAACAGACAGUUGGUGAGCAUCAUGGACUUUUCUUUGCCGCAGUACCAGUUAGGAGCCAGGGAUUCUGUGCUUACAACAAUUGCAUUUGCGUUUUUGUAUGACUUGAACAAGUUUUGUACAACAUCAAUAGCAAUGAGACUUGCACUGCAUCCCAUUCCUGAGAGGUUGAAGUUCUUGAUGUCCUCCCUCAUCUUGUAACGAUUUAUUAUACGAGAUGUUAGAGAGGGUGCAGGGGAGAACAUUGACACAUUGACAACCAGAAUGUCGAUUUGUGAAGGAGAAAUUGAAGUAGACCUAGCAAAAAGCUUGUCAAG
This 7700-nucleotide long non-coding RNA is filed under the name Prunus persica (peach). RNAcentral describes it as "long non-coding RNA (PPER_LNC002801)". Lineage: Eukaryota; Viridiplantae; Streptophyta; Magnoliopsida; Rosales; Rosaceae. The record is from RNAcentral.